Molecule: ribosomal RNA, 429 nt
Filed under: Pseudomonadota bacterium
Lineage: Bacteria; Pseudomonadati; Pseudomonadota
Description: Proteobacteria bacterium partial 16S ribosomal RNA
Rfam family: Bacterial small subunit ribosomal RNA
Source: RNAcentral
UGGGGAAUAUUGGACAAUGGGCGAAAGCCUGAUCCAGCCAUGCCGCGUGUGUGAAGAAGGUCUUCGGAUCGUACAGCACUUUAAGUUGGGAGGAUGCGCAGUAAGCGAAUACCUUGCUGUUUUGACGUUACCGACAGAAUAAGCACCGGCUAACUCUGCGCCAGCAGCCGCGGUAAUACAGAGGGUGCAAGCGUUAAUCGGAAUUACUGGGCGUAAAGCGCGCGUAGGUGGUUCGUUAAGUUGAAUGUGAAAGCCCCGGGCUCAACCUGGGAACUGCAUCCAAAACUGGCGAGCUAGAGUAGGGCAGAGGGUGGUGGAAUUUCGUGUGUAGCGGUGAAAUGCGUAGAUAUAGGGAGGAACACCAGUAGCGAAGGCGACCACCUGGGCUCAUACAGACACUGAGGUGCGAAGGCGUGGGGAGCAAACAGG